This 31-nucleotide non-coding RNA is filed under the name Mus musculus (house mouse). Lineage: Eukaryota; Metazoa; Chordata; Mammalia; Rodentia; Muridae. The record is from RNAcentral.
UAAACCAUUUUACAUAGGUUAAACAAGUUGC